Xyrichtys novacula (pearly razorfish) is the source of this 1364-nucleotide non-coding RNA. The record is from the annotation of a GenBank genome assembly. NCBI's taxonomy places the organism in Eukaryota, Metazoa, Chordata, Actinopteri, Labriformes, Labridae.
AAACUGUGACUCCUCCCCCUGCUUCUCUCUUUGUGCUGCUGCUGGAUGUUGGGCUGCCACAGGUAUGUCUUCAUUGUUUUAUUUGCUGUCUUUGUGGUCUGUCAGCUCCAUGUUCAUAGCUUGUUUUGUGCUUCAGAACAACUGUUGUGCCUCUGGCGUGUCUGUGUGGUGAGUUUGUCUCUCCCUUUCACUUGCUGUGCUAUUGUGAUGCUAAUCGUUGCUAAUGCUAGUGUGGUCGCAGGUGAGAUGCAGAUAGCUGUUUGGGUCUCACUCUGUCUCUCCCUCCCCUCGGUUUUGUGUGUGUUUGUGUGCCUGCUGCUGUAGAAAAGUAUGGCUAUCAAUGUAGGUCACAACCACAGCAUUAUAGUUUUUGUUAUUGAUACAAUUUCUAAAAGGUAAGGUUGGACUAAAUGAUGGUCUGUCAUCUGCUGUUUCUCCUGCUCUGCUUGCUGCUUUGUCAUACCUCCAUUUAUCCCAAUGACUUAUCCCCCAUUGCAAACUUUCACACUCAGUACCUACUGCAUCACUUGUGCACUUUGUAAAUAUUUUUUAUAUGUUUAUAUAUUUUUGUAUCCUUAUAUUAUUGUAUUCUUCCAAGUACUUGUAGCGUGUUUUAUCUGUACUUGUUUGAGUCAAGCGGUCCUUGUCAUCCAGGGCAUUUCAUUGCGUUGUUGACUUUGGUUUAUUUGUCAUUUGCAGGUUAAACAAUCUUGAAUCUGCUUUGUCUCCCAUUUGCUCCCUUUGGCCUCCCUGCUGCCUUUGCUCGGGCCCUUACAGCGCUUAUCAGGCCUGCUGUUAGCUGUCUGUCUCCUUCCUGGAGAACUUCUAUUGGUUGCAUUUGUGUUUUAAAGGUGUGAUUGAGCGUUGGGGAUAUUUGUCCUUUUUGUUUGGGUUGAUUUGUUAGAGUUGGACUUCAUUUUGUUUUGGGCUAUUGUUUAUAGGUGUAUUCUUUUUGUUUGAUUUAUUUGGGUUUAGUGAACUUCCUACUCCUUUUUUAGCUUCCUGUUUGGUUUUUGGUAGUUUGUGGGUUUUAUUUUGGGUUUGCAGGUAGUUUUUGUUUUGAAAAUUUUAUUUGAACAGUUAAUUUAUGUAAACCAUAGGUUUUUUUUAAAAUUUUUUUUUUUUUUUUUUUGUGUUUUGCUUGUGUUGCUUUAUUAUCUUGACCCCACCACUAAUUGUUUUAUUUCUCUUUCAGUUGCUGAGGGCCAGUGGUGGUGCUGGUGAUAUGCAGCUUUAGGUGGUUUCUUCCCCCUUUGUGUCCUGUGUCUCCCUGAGCGGAUUUCUCCCCCCUCCUUCACUAGCCCCCUAUCCAUCAGGUAAGCCUCAGCACCUGUUUGUUUUUCCCCUGCCCUCCUGUGCGAGUG